This 253-nucleotide ribosomal RNA is filed under the name uncultured bacterium. RNAcentral's name for it is "partial 16S ribosomal RNA". It matches the Rfam family "Bacterial small subunit ribosomal RNA", at positions 524 to 776 of the family's 1533-position model. The record is from RNAcentral.
UACGGGGGAUGCGAGUGUUAUCCGGAAUCACUGGGCGUAAAGCGUCUGUAGGUGGUUUAAAAAGUCCACGGUUAAAGGUUGGGGCUUAACCCCGAAAAUGCCGUGGAAACGUUUAGACUAGAGUAUGGUAGGGGUAGAGAGAAUUUCCAGUGGAGCGGUGGAAUGCGUAGAUAUUGGAAAGACUACCGAUGGCGAAGGCACUCGACUGGGCCACUACUGACACUGAGAGACGAAAGCUAGGGGAGCAAAUGGG